RNAcentral lists this ribosomal RNA (253 nucleotides) under uncultured bacterium. RNAcentral describes it as "partial 16S ribosomal RNA". It matches the Rfam family "Bacterial small subunit ribosomal RNA", at positions 524 to 776 of the family's 1533-position model. The record is from RNAcentral.
UACGUAGGGGGCAAGCGUUGUCCGGAUUUAUUGGGCGUACAGAGCGUGUAGGCGGCUAGGUAGGUCCGUUGUGAAAACUCGAGGCUCAACCUCGAGACGUCGAUGGAAACCAUCUAGCUAGAGUCCGGAAGAGGAGAGUGGAAUUCCUGGUGUAGCGGUGAAAUGCGCAGAUAUCAGGAAGAACACCCGUGGCUAAGGCGGCUCUCUAGUACGGUACUGACGCUGAGACGCGAAAGCGUGGGGAGCGAACAGG